GAGUUUGAUCCUGGCUCAGAUUGAACGCUGGCGGCAUGCUUUACACAUGCAAGUCGAACGGCAGCGGGGGCUUCGGCCCGCCGGCGAGUGGCGAACGGGUGAGUAAUGCAUCGGAACGUACCCAGUCGUGGGGGAUAACUACGCGAAAGCGUAGCUAAUACCGCAUACGCCCUGAGGGGGAAAGCGGGGGACCUUCGGGCCUCGCGCGAUUGGAGCGGCUGAUGUCGGAUUAGCUAGUUGGUGGGGUAAAGGCCUACCAAGGCGACGAUCCGUAGCUGGUCUGAGAGGAUGAUCAGCCACACUGGGACUGAGACACGGCCCAGACUCCUACGGGAGGCAGCAGUGGGGAAUUUUGGGCAAUGGGCGCAAGCCUGAUCCAGCCAUGCCGCGUGAGUGAAGAAGGCCUUCGGGUUGUAAAGCUCUUUCAGACGGAAAGAAAUCGGGCGCGUGAAUAGCGUGCCUGGAUGACGGUACUGUCAGAAGAAGCACCGGCUAACUACGUGCCAGCAGCCGCGGUAAUACGUAGGGUGCGAGCGUUAAUCGGAAUUACUGGGCGUAAAGCGUGCGCAGGCGGUUGUGUAAGACAGGUGUGAAAUCCCCGGGCUUAACCUGGGAACUGCGCUUGUGACUGCACGGCUAGAGUACGGCAGAGGGGGGUGGAAUUCCACGUGUAGCAGUGAAAUGCGUAGAUAUGUGGAGGAACACCGAUGGCGA
Molecule: ribosomal RNA, 714 nt
Filed under: uncultured Azoarcus sp.
Lineage: Bacteria; Pseudomonadati; Pseudomonadota; Betaproteobacteria; Rhodocyclales; Zoogloeaceae
Description: bacterial SSU rRNA
Rfam family: Bacterial small subunit ribosomal RNA
Source: RNAcentral